Molecule: unclassified non-coding RNA, 209 nt
Filed under: Hevea brasiliensis (rubber tree)
Lineage: Eukaryota; Viridiplantae; Streptophyta; Magnoliopsida; Malpighiales; Euphorbiaceae
Source: RNAcentral
AGGAAUUUCUGACUAUGCAGACUCAAUGCUUUAACAUCCUCAUGGUGGAAAGCAGAUAUUGCAUCCAAGUAAACCUGGUUUGCAAGCUUGGAAAGUGAUUGUCUGGUUAAAUCCACCAAAUCAUAUCUAUAUGUGAGGCUUCCCGAAAGUUCUUUUCCUGCAUCAAGGAAUAGCUUUAAUGCCUUGAUGACAUCCUCAGUAGAAUACCA